CGGAGGAUCCAAGCGUUAUCCGGAAUCAGUUGGGUUUAAAGGGUCCGUAGGCGGUUUAGUAAGUCAGUGGUGAAAGCCCAUCGCUCAACGGUGGAACGGCCAUUGAUACUGCUAAACUUGAAUUAUUAGGAAGUAACUAGAAUAUGUAGUGUAGCGGUGAAAUGCUUAGAGAUUACAUGGAAUACCAAUUGCGAAGGCAGGUUACUACUAAUGGAUUGACGCUGAUGGACGAAAGCGUGGGUAGCGAACAGGAUUAGAUACCCUGGUAGUCCACGCCGUAAACGAUGGAUACUAGCUGUUGGGGGCAACUUCAGUGGCUAAGCGAAAGUGAUAAGUAUCCCACCUGGGGAGUACGUUCGCAAGAAUG
This 367-nucleotide ribosomal RNA is filed under the name uncultured organism. Its description in RNAcentral is "bacterial SSU rRNA". It matches the Rfam family "Bacterial small subunit ribosomal RNA", at positions 526 to 896 of the family's 1533-position model. The record is from RNAcentral.